CAACCAUAAAGUCGUAUACUUUUGUAACUUAAAUUAAUUUGUAACUAUGGCAAUUGCAGUUUUAUUGGCGGCACAGAAGUAAAACUGACCCGUUUAAAAACAAAGUACCAAAUGUAUAGACAUCUCAUUCGAGAAGAGAACAACAAUCGCAUUUUACACAACCAAUAGUAAUAAAAGUUUCACAGAAAUAUAAUCAAAAGUCGGUACACAUAAACGUUACUAAUUAUGUAACUAUGUAAGUACUUAUAGUACCUUUAUAUAUAAUAUAAUAAGAAUAACUAUUAGUUAGGCACGCUAAUUAUUAUAACCGUUAAGUACAGCGAAUCCUGGGUAAUAGUACAAUUGUUGGGUAACCGUUUUUGUUAUUAUUUUGAAUAUUAUUGCAUAAAUUAAAAAAAAAUCAGUGUGUUUGUUUAUAAGGUGCCAACGAUGAACGAUACAGCUUUAUAUAGAACGAUUCAAUCAGCUCGUAGUCACGAAAAAACUCUUGG
This is a non-coding RNA of Cinara cedri, 491 nucleotides long. The record is from the annotation of a GenBank genome assembly. NCBI's taxonomy places the organism in Eukaryota, Metazoa, Arthropoda, Insecta, Hemiptera, Aphididae.